Molecule: non-coding RNA, 30 nt
Filed under: Rattus norvegicus (Norway rat)
Lineage: Eukaryota; Metazoa; Chordata; Mammalia; Rodentia; Muridae
Source: RNAcentral
UUUUAGCUUAUGGUUCCAGAGGGGCUAGAA